GGCCAUUCAUCCUUCUUCCAACUUCUGAGUCCUCUUCCUUCUGUGCCACUGUCCCCUCCUCCGUGCCGGAGUCUUCUCCUCUCUGUUUCACUGUUGAAACAGAGAGAAAAACACUCCACAAAGGUUCUGGGGACUCCCCCCUUUCAUAGUUUAAAACCACUUUCUUAAGUAAACUGGGUCUUACCUGGUUUCGGGUUGGCUGUGCCGAGCAGAACCUUCCCAAAAUCCCUCCUCUCUCUCUCCUGGGGCUUCUGAGUUCCUCCACCUUCCGCUCCAAGAGGUCCGGCUUCU
Molecule: long non-coding RNA, 291 nt
Filed under: Phoenix dactylifera (date palm)
Lineage: Eukaryota; Viridiplantae; Streptophyta; Magnoliopsida; Arecales; Arecaceae
Description: long non-coding RNA (PDAC_LNC020146)
Source: RNAcentral